CAAACUUAAGCAGUUAUGUGCUGCAACUCUGCAACGACAAGAACCACAUGAUUAUCUUCAUUUUAUGCUUAACUAUUUUGGCUGUUAUUUACAUAUUUUUUAUAUAUCAUUUAAGAAUUUCGGUUAAUAAAUUCGGUUUUCGAUUUUAACCGAAAUUUAAAAUUCGGUUCGGUUAUAAACCGAAAUUAAUUCGGUUCGGUUUUCGGUAGCGAUUUUUCAUAAACUUCGGUUUCGGUUAACCGAAAAAAAAUUCGGUUUCGGUUUCGGUUAACCGAAUGCAC
This 281-nucleotide long non-coding RNA is filed under the name Daucus carota (carrot). RNAcentral's name for it is "long non-coding RNA (DCAR_LNC000969)". The record is from RNAcentral. Lineage: Eukaryota; Viridiplantae; Streptophyta; Magnoliopsida; Apiales; Apiaceae.